This is a long non-coding RNA of Schistocerca gregaria, 4640 nucleotides long. RefSeq lists it as uncharacterized. The record is from RefSeq and is a predicted model, not a curated record. The transcript is spliced from 2 exons. NCBI's taxonomy places the organism in Eukaryota, Metazoa, Arthropoda, Insecta, Orthoptera, Acrididae.
CGGGUAACCACUUACCCCUUUCUUCCUGUUUUUCGUCUAAUCUUGUUAGAAGAGUCGUAAAAGUAUCAGAAAUCAUCUGCCAGACAGCCGGCGGAGGUCGCGCUACUGCACUCAUGGUAAUGGGAGCGGCUGCACUGGACUUCACUGAGCCGAAAGUCAUUUUAACUGUUUAAUGUUGUAUAUUUAGUUCUAAGUCAUGUCAUAUGCUUACCAUCGUUAUGGAAUACAAUAAAAUGAAACUCGAUAUAAUAAUAUGUAUAAUACAUUUACAAAAUAUAUUUAUAAAGAAAUGUUAUAGGAAAUACAUACUAAUAAACCAUGUUUAUAAAUGAGAAAUUUUAAUAGUAUGCUUACAUUUGAAAAAUCUUUACUGUUUACUUGUAAAUAGUAAUCAUAACAUUUACAGAGAUGGAAUGGUUCUUUUUGCAAAUGUACUUUGGGCAUUUUAUACAUUGGUAGUGUGUUUUCCUAACAUUCUUAACAUCUUUUCCUUCUAGAAUGAAAUUUUCACUCUAGAGCAGAGUGUGCACUGAUAUGAAACUUCCUGGCAGAUUAAAACUGUGUGCCGGACCGAGACUCGAACUCGGGACCCUUGCCUUUCAACGGGCAAGUGCUCUACCGACUGAGCUAUCCAAGCACGCCUCACGCCCUGUCCUCACAGUUUUAAUUCCGUGAGCUUGCCCGCGAAAGGCAAAGGUCCUUAGUUCGAGUCUCGACCCAGCACACAGUUUUAAUCUGCCAGGAAGUUUCCUUACCUUCGUUGGUUCGAUGUCUUAGAACUGGUUCUACUAUGGUUGUGGAUACAAUAUUGCAAAUAAGUUGUCAAUCAAUGAUCUCAAUUGCCUGGGAAGAUUUUGCAUUUCCUCCGUUUCACCUGGUCAGCAACAUGACCAAAAAACAAGUUUUUCAAAAAGGUACACUUUUUUUUGGAAGAGUAUCUUUUUGCAAACUGUACACUACCACUGCAUUACUUCCACAAACAUUCAGCAAUGAAUAGAGAACGCUCAUUGGCCAACGUCGAGUAUUUCUGGCCACAUCCCAGAACUGCAUAUCCUAUCCACUGUGUGAACACCAGUUUUGGUGGCGUUGUAGAAAGGAAUUAUUUCCGGCCUUUUGGCAACUGUUUCACUUUCAAUCACAGCGUCAUAAUGCAUACUAGGUAAGAGGAUAACUUUUUUUGCUUGAUGGGCAAAGAGUUUGUGUGUCAACAAAAAGGGAAUUGUGUGCAAUACAAAUUUUGUUUAUUUGCAAUUUCAGGUGAUAAUUAUUUUUAUUUUUUCUUACCAUCCCAACCAUUGUCAACCUUACGUUCAACAAUUCUUCAGCCACUGAAAAGCUACUGAACCAGUUGUCAAUUUAAUAUUUCUGCCAGUAUCGUGUAUAGGCUUCGUCAGACAUUUCACCAUUUCGUAUGGAGACAUGCCAGUCGAGAAGGGUUCAGGCGGCUGUUUCCCAGGAUAAAUUUCCAAAUUGAGGGUUAAAAGAUCCGUGCACUGGUAAGAGCAAACAUCUUUAAAACUUACCUCGCAGGUUUUGAAGGUAUAUAUUGCUUGAAAGGGCUGCUUCCUCCGAAAGCCUCAAGCUUUUCGUUAAUUGUAGCAUAUUCCAAAUAAUGUAACAAUUUUGGAAAUUACCAGCUAUUUGUUUAAAAAGUUCUCUAAUUAGAGCUAGUUUAUCACCUCUCUCGGUUUACUUAUUGGCACAGAUCCACAUUGUAACUUGUUCCUGAAGUCAAUUCUAACAUUCAAUUCAUGUUUCCAAAUGACAUUGUUCAGAGCAACAGAAAUAGUUAAGAAUAAUGCUGUAAAUGGCGAACAAUUCAACACUCACAAUAAAAGGCAAAAUUUAUCACAAGUGGACUCAUUGCUGCCAAUGCCAAACGAACCACAUAAUUUUUUACAGAUCUACUUUAUGGGCAGUGAGGGUGCAUGCAUGAAUGCAUGUUGUGGCUACAAUAACUUCAAUUCACUUUUUGCCAGAUGCAUGCAUCACUGGCGAGCUGGACGCUAUAUUGAAUGAGCACAGUGAAUUAUUGGAAAUAUUCAAAUCACACAUGCACAAAUUACAAAGCGAUAAUCACGCUAUUGUCAUUAAUCCUGAUAAAACACCUGCUGGGGAACACAUUUGUAGAUUCAAUGCACCUGUUGCUGACGGCUUUGCUGGAAUUAUGGUUGGCAAUCGUAGCGCUACACAAGAAAUCUUGAUUCGUAGAAGAAAUAAUAAUCUUCAGUUCAUUACUGAUACACACCGUUCAUAUGACACUCCAAUUUUCACUAAUGUUCUGGAAGGAACAAGAUGGAUAUUGCAUUUGCUAAGCAAAACAUUCGGCGCUCAUAUUAAUGUCGAGUUCUGCAGUUCAGUUAAGAGCAUCAAUAUGACCGUAUUUCGAGUUUGAAAUACCAAUAUGAAUGCUUCUCCAAUGAAUAAGAAUGAUGAAAUGAUGCUCUACCAAGUUGGCAAGUACUUAAGCUCCAAUGAAGCUGUUUAGUGUAUCUUUGGUUUCCCAUUUCAUCAAUGGGAUCGAGCAGUUAGUCAUUUAGCCGUCCAUCUUGAAAACAGUCAGCGUGUAUAUAACACGAACGAGACAGCGAUUGAUCGUGCUAUAAAUCCACCAAAAACUACUCACCGAAUUUUUGAAUUGUGUAAUCCUGCAGAUGCUUUUGAUGCCUUUGCAUGGACAUUACUAUAUUCAGAAACACCACGCUACUUCACAUGGGCUCAAACAUGGGGCAAGUAUUUACAGUCAAUCCAAGGCAAACUGAGUGCUUUUAUCUCUGUUGUUGGUUAAUGUCACUGGCUCAUUGUCAUUUCAAGAUAUACGUGAAGUGAAUGGACAACAGCAUCCAACAUAUAAAGAUGCAUGCCUUGCACUCAGCUUGCUGGAAGACUGCAACCAGUGGCAAUGUGUGCUUGAUGAAGCAGCACUGAACUGUACACCAAAUUCAUCUACUAUUCGCUAUAGUGUUGUAUACAUGUUUCCCAGCUCAAGCAGAGACAUUGUGGGAUAAUCACGAAGAUUCAAUGACCGAAGAUAUAUUGUGUCAACAUCAUACACGGUGCAACAAUCUAACGAUGGCAUUCAGCAAGUAUGUACAAGGAAGUAUUGACUGCUAUUGAGAAUCUUUGCAAUAUCAUUGCCAACUUACCACUCAGUCAUUUCAGUAUGUAUUCACCAAAUCAAUGUGCAUCUGAUUUAAUGAACACUGAAAUGAAUUGUGAACUGCAAUACAAUACUGUUGAAAUGGCAGCGAUUGUUACUCACAAUGUCCCACUGAUGAAUAAGGAACAAAGAACCAUUUACAACCGCAUUAUUCUCACAGUUUCAGCAGGACAAGCUGGAUUCUUUUUAUUUGGCUGCACCAGGUGGAACUGGCAAAACAUUCCUUAUUUCACUAAUUCUCGUCGAAAUAUGAUCAAAUAAUGGCAUCACAUUGGCCAUUGGAUCAUCUGGCACUGCGUCAACUUUAUUGGACGGAGGCAGAACAGUGCAUUCAGUAUUUAAGCUGCCACUAAAUAUUCAAAAUAAGACGGACGCAGUGUGCAACAUAAAAAACAAAUCAUCCAUGGCCACAGUGCUGAAACUGUAAAAUUAUCAUCUGGAGUGAAUGCACUAUGGCACAAACAUUCCCUUGAGGCACUGAACAGGACAUUGAAAUAUAUAAAAAACAACGAACUAUUUAUCGGCACUGUUACUACUUUCAGGUGAUUUCAGACAUAUACUUUCCGUCAUUCUACAUUCAACAUAUGCUGAUGAGAUCAACACUUGCUUAAAAUUAUCGCCACUGUGGCAUAAUGUUAAAAAAGUACAACUGAAUGUAAAUAUGCGCGUUCAAAUGCUCCAAGAUCCAUCCGCCGAAACAUUCUCAAAACAUUUGUUAGACAUCGGUGAUGGAAAAGUUACUAUAGUUGAAACUAGAUGCAUAUCACCACCCACCGAUUUCUGCACCACCGGACGUCAGGUCACUACCGUCACAUCGGCUAUUUCCUGUAGUGUAUAUCUGGAGAAUUGUUGGGUCUGUCAGAUUCUUGUGACGGCUGUGGAGUUAAAGAGUUGACACCCCUAGUGCGUAUGCACGCAACAUGUUCGAGCACUUGCAUUUUGGGGAGGGGGAGAAAGGCUGACAGCACUAAACUUGGGAAUGUAGGAAAGGUGUUUCUGACACUGGAUAACAAUAUCACUUAAAAAUAGAUGCAUUCUUAUUCAUAAUGUUGAAAUGUAGCCACAGAAACAUUAAAGAGUAUACACAAUCUGCAGACCAGAACAUUUAAUAACACUGUCAGUGUUUCACUACGUUGUACAAAGAUGGCAGCAGUACAAAAUUAUUUCCAGUCUUUGGUAACAAUUUGGAAAUGGAAGCAUUUAAUAAUGACAGACUUAACUGCUUCGGAUCCUGUCUUUCUGUUUUGACCCACAUGAAACAAUUAUUAAAAUGUUAAAUUUAAGAUUGUGUAUCACACAUAAAAGUAAAUCAUAAAUAUCAAAAUUUCAUUUAUCACAUACAAGCUUACUGUAAUGACAAUCACAUUCAAGACACAUAAAAGAGAAGAAAAAAGUCUGAGGUAAAACAUAUCAAUAUAAAUCUGUCUUAAAGCAUGUACCAUCUAUAAAUAUAGAAAACAAAUGGUGACUUAUUUACAAU